GCACAAGCGGCGGAGCAUGCGGAUUAAUUCGAUGCAACGCGAAGAACCUUACCUGGGUUUGACAUAUGCCGGUAGCAGCCAGAGAUGGUUGUGCCUUUUGGGCCGGUUUACAGGUGGUGCAUGGCUGUCGUCAGCUCGUGUCGUGAGAUGUUGGGUUAAGUCCCGCAACGAGCGCAACCCUUGUCCUAUGUUGCCAGCGGUUCGGCCGGGAACUCAUAGGAGACUGCCGGGGUCAACUCGGAGGAAGGUGGGGAUGACGUCAAGUCAUCAUGCCCCUUAUGUCCAGGGCUUCACGCAUGCUACAAUGGCUGGUACAGAGGGUUGCGAUGCCGNNNGGUGGAGCGAAUCCCUUAAAGCCAGUCUCAGUUCGGAUUGGGGUCUGCAACUCGACCCCAUGAAGUCGGAGUCGCUAGUAAUCGCAGAUCAGCAUUGCUGCGGUGAAUACGUUCCCGGGCCUUGUACACACCGCCCGUCAAGUCAUGAAAGUCGGUAACACCCGAAGCCGGUGNNNNNNCCUUUUUGGGGGGAGCUGUCUAAGGUGGGAUCGGUGAUUAGGAGUAAGUCGUAACAAGGUAACC
This 578-nucleotide ribosomal RNA is filed under the name uncultured bacterium. RNAcentral describes it as "bacterial SSU rRNA". It matches the Rfam family "Bacterial small subunit ribosomal RNA", at positions 923 to 1501 of the family's 1533-position model. The record is from RNAcentral.